CGCCGGCGACCGGCGCACGGGUGAGUAACACGUAUGCAACCUGGCCGUGACAGAUGGAUAACCGGGAGAAAUCCCGCCUAAUACAACAUAAUGCCGGGAGGGGACAUCCCCUGCCGGCCAAAGGGGGCGACCCCGGUCACGGAUGGGCAUGCGGCGCAUUAGGUAGUUGGUGGGGCAACGGCCCACCAAGCCGACGAUGCGUAGGGGUUCUGAGAGGAAGGUCCCCCACAUUGGAACUGAGACACGGUCCAAACUCCUACGGGAGGCAGCAG
RNAcentral lists this ribosomal RNA (272 nucleotides) under uncultured bacterium. RNAcentral describes it as "partial 16S ribosomal RNA". It matches the Rfam family "Bacterial small subunit ribosomal RNA", at positions 86 to 354 of the family's 1533-position model. The record is from RNAcentral.